Long non-coding RNA from Anolis carolinensis (green anole), 742 nucleotides. RefSeq lists it as uncharacterized. Lineage: Eukaryota; Metazoa; Chordata; Lepidosauria; Squamata; Anolidae. The transcript is spliced from 2 exons. The record is from RefSeq and is a predicted model, not a curated record.
CCAAAUUCAUUGCAAUUGUUGGAAAAAAUCAGUUUAUGCUGUUAUGUUUCUUUCCUCCAUACAAGUCAAUGGGAAACACAAGAUCCAGAUUUCUCAAUGACAGUCCAAGUUCAGUUCCAAGUCAGAUGGAAGCAGUUGUCCUUAUGUAAAUGAUUCCUGAUUGCCAAUGUGGCUCAUCUUGGAAGAAAGACAGAGUGGUAGCAUCUGAGAGAAGGGAAGAGGUUGCACCAUGAAAUCAGGUGAAACCAAGACUUGUGUGGCCAAGCAAUACCAGUGUACAGUCAAGACAGUGAUAAUGAAGAUGACUACACAAUCUCAGAGUUCCAGCGGUUACUUUUGCCUGAGUCUAAUGGGAAAGACAGUAUUCUUCUCUCUCAUCAUGUAAUAAUCACACUUUUUUCCCCAAAAAAAGAGGGUGCGACUAUUAUGUGACAAAGAAAAUAUGCCAGUAUUAUAUCGUUGAAAAUAAUGUAAUAUUAAAGACUCCACGUUGCCAUUGUCACAUGUCAUAUGAGUCUACACUGACCAUAUAAUGCAGUUUCAAUUUGCAUUAUAUUGCAGUAUAAAUGAGGCCCAAGUCACCCUAUCCUCAAUAGCCCCAAUAUUGUAGAUUUAGGGCCAAGUCUAUCUAUCUGGAAUGUGGCCUUUCUCUUGUCCUAUUGCAUUUUACCAUACCAAGCAUUAUUGUGUUUUCUGUCAUGUCUUCUCCUGAUAUGGCAAACUACAACAACUACAAACUAAA